UCAUUAUCGAGCGAAUCCAAAACGAACGAAAAAGUCUCCCAACGUGCAUACCUUCCAUUUGCAUGUUGUUGUGAGCCACAUGGAAACUCGUACACACGUGGUGGCAGCCGUCUGCUGUGCUUUUUUUAGGCAGACAAUGGCUUACGAGUGGCCGUGUGCUUGUUGAACAACGGUGACCAAUUUGGCGUCUACGCCGUAUCUAGCUUCUGCCUGGACCGUCAGUUGCGAUGAAAGAUGCGGAGAAAGUUCCUUUGUUUUGGCUGCUAAUCAUCAUUGAUGAGCAGCAGCUUAAGGCAGAGUUGAGCAGACUUAAUGAGCCACGCUAGGUGGCCGCCAAAACCCAAAACACAACCGGUCUAUUUGACAUUGUUAUUUCAUUGUAUGUGUUGAAAAUGUACAAAUCUUGGCGGUGGAUCACUCGGUUCGUGGAUCGAUGAAGAACGCAGCCAGCUGCGAUAAAUAGUGCGAAUUGCAGACACAUUGAGCACUAAGAAUUCGAACGCACAUUGCGCUAUCGGGUUCAUUCCCGAUGGCACGUCUGGCUGAGGGUCGAAUUACGGUGAACUGUCUUCACGGUCUUUCUGGACUGUGAAGCAUUCGGCAAGCAAUUGCUGUUGUGUUGUUGGUGAUUCUAUCAUGGACAAUAUGACGCGCGGUUCCUUGCUUAGUGAUGAUAAAAAGAAGACGUCAACACCGAAUCCACUAUACUACUAAUACUAGUGUAUAGGUGAGGUGCUUUUGGUGGUCACAAAAGUGACAAGUAUGCCAUUUCAUAGGGGCAACAACCAGCAUACGUGAUAAGUUGGCUGGUUGAUGAAACGGCAACGGAAUGACGGACGUCUAUGUGAUCAAAAAUGAUACUAUUUGACCUCAGCUCAGUCGUGAUUACCCGCUGAAUUUAAGCAUAUAAUUAAGCGGAGGAAAAGAAACUAAA
This 934-nucleotide ribosomal RNA is filed under the name Anisakis sp. SAN-2004. Its description in RNAcentral is "eukaryotic LSU rRNA". The stretch from base 399 to 552 matches the Rfam family "5.8S ribosomal RNA". Lineage: Eukaryota; Metazoa; Nematoda; Chromadorea; Rhabditida; Anisakidae. The record is from RNAcentral.